RNAcentral lists this long non-coding RNA (303 nucleotides) under Elaeis guineensis (African oil palm). RNAcentral's name for it is "long non-coding RNA (EGUI_LNC039863)". The record is from RNAcentral. Lineage: Eukaryota; Viridiplantae; Streptophyta; Magnoliopsida; Arecales; Arecaceae.
CCCUUAUCAGCCAUCUCGUCUAGGAUAUCACCUUUGGGUAUGCACACAAAUCUCCCUCCAAAAGAAGGAGGCACCCUGACCGACCUAAAUCUCCUUGCCCACAGUCCACAUCCCAUAUCUCGCUCUCAUCAUUAUGGUCCUUAAGCUCUCUGGAUCUAGUAAAAAUCUAGCUGUAUACCAUGCAAUCAAAGCCUCCCACCUCAUAGCUAGAGACUGAACACCAACCCCUCAUCUCUCAGUGGCUGGGACACAACCUCCCAUGCCAAAAGGUGCAAACCACCCCCAUCUUUCAGUUGCGACCCC